This 84-nucleotide small RNA is filed under the name Flavobacterium caeni. Its description in RNAcentral is "Flavo-1 RNA". It matches the Rfam family "Flavo-1 RNA". The record is from Rfam by way of RNAcentral. Lineage: Bacteria; Pseudomonadati; Bacteroidota; Flavobacteriia; Flavobacteriales; Flavobacteriaceae.
UCCUAGCCCGGAUAGUAGCGGCAUCCUUUUGCGGCCGCAGCGCAGCGGAGGCCGUAAAAGAUAAAGCGGAUAGCCGGAAAAAGC